GGCCAUCAUGUAUUUCAAUAUGAUCUAUUUAAGGAAAAAAGUGGAUUUGAGAAAAUUUUAUUUUUGUAAAACACUAACUUAUUAAAACUCACCAAACAAGAGUUUUUAUCACUUGCCAUAAUUUUAUAAAAUUUCAACCAAAUUUCCUCCUUAACAAACAAAACCUAGAGCUUCCUGAAUCCGGAUUUUAACUGUUAGUCAACCUGGGCUUAAAAAGUCAAGAAAAGUAAUAAUGGGAGCAGAAAUACCAGUUAUAGGAUUACUAUGGAUUUAGUGGGCGGUAUAAUAUUUGAAAAUGUUGGUAUGUACCUCCACCCCUUAUGUGGCCGGUCAACACACUGCGUUAAGUUAUGCGCCGACCCAGCAACCGUGAACUUUAUUUACCCGUGACGUGACCCGACCCAGCAACAGGGGAUAAGUUCACCACCGAUAUAGUCGUAAAUACGCCGAACAACCAAAUCCCAGUUUUAUUUUUCAAAUAAACAAUUCGACCCAAAACCAAAACCUUCUUCUCUUUCUCAGUGUCUGUCCCAUAGAAGAAGAAGAAGAAGAAGAAGAAGAAGAAGAAGAAGAAGAAGAAGAAGAAGAAGAAGAAGAAGAAGAAGAAGAAGAAGAAGAAGAAGAAGAAGAAGAAGAAGAAGAAGAAGAAGAAGAAGAAGAAGAAGAAGAAGAAGAAGAAGAAGAAGAAGAAGAAGAAGAAGAAGAAGAAGAAGAAGAAGAAGAAGAAGAAGAAGAAGAAGAAGAAGAAGAAGAAGAAGAAGAAGAAGAAGAAGAAGAAGAAGAAGAAGAAGAAGAAGAAGAAGAAGAAGAAGAAGAAGAAGAAGAAGAAGAAGAAGAAGAAGAAGAAGAAGAAGAAGAAGAAGAAGAAGAAGAAGAAGAAGAAGAAGAAGAAGAAGAAGAAGAAGAAGAAGAAGAAGAAGAAGAAGAAGAAGAAGAAGAAGAAGAAGAAGAAGAAGAAGAAGAAGAAGAAGAAGAAGAAGAAGAAGAAGAAGAAGAAGAAGAAGAAGAAGAAGAAGAAGAAGAAGAAGAAGAAGAAGAAGAAGAAGAAGAAGAAGAAGAAGAAGAAGAAGAAGAAGAAGAAGAAGAAGAAGAAGAAGAAGAAGAAGAAGAAGAAGAAGAUCGGUCAUCACCACUCUGCACCUUCUCAAAUCUUCUUCUUUUUCUUCUCUGCCCACUCCUCUCCUUCUCUCUCUCUCUCAUCAUCAAUCAUAUCUUGUUUAUUUUUUUGUCAUUAUAAGAUACAUUCAUCUUCCCCACUCCCAUCAAACUUAACAAACCCCUCCAUAUCCCUAUUUUUCUUAAAUCCCACCCACCUUCCCCCAAAAAAAAUGAAAGGAGAAGAAUAUCUAGAACAACCACCACAUCAUCAUCAUCAUCCAAAUCCAAAGCAUGACAAUACUACUAAUAUGUUCUCCAAACUUCACCCCCACCGCCACCAAAACCCUAACCCAAAUCCUUUCCCUCACCACCAAGACCAUGACCUCCCUCCCUCCGACCACCCCAACUCCAGCGAUGGCGGCGGCGCUACUAUCGAGGUCGUCCGCCGCCCUCGAGGCCGCCCACCUGGAUCCAAAAACAAACCAAAACCACCCAUAAUCAUCACCCGGGUAGACCCAGCUGAACCGCCCANNNN
Molecule: long non-coding RNA, 1633 nt
Filed under: Linum usitatissimum (flax)
Lineage: Eukaryota; Viridiplantae; Streptophyta; Magnoliopsida; Malpighiales; Linaceae
Description: long non-coding RNA (LUSI_LNC003591)
Source: RNAcentral